This 496-nucleotide ribosomal RNA is filed under the name uncultured bacterium. RNAcentral describes it as "partial 16S ribosomal RNA". It matches the Rfam family "Bacterial small subunit ribosomal RNA", at positions 29 to 507 of the family's 1533-position model. The record is from RNAcentral.
AUGAACGCUGGCGGCGUGCCUAACACAUGCAAGUCGAGCGAACAGAUGAGGAGCUUGCUCCUCUGACGUUAGCGGCGGACGGGUGAGUAACACGUGGAUAACCUACCUAUAAGACUGGGAUAACUUCGGGAAACCGGAGCUAAUACCGGAUAAUAUAUUGAACCGCAUGGUUCAAUAGUGAAAGACGGUUUUGCUGUCACUUAUAGAUGGAUCCGCGCCGCAUUAGCUAGUUGGUAAGGUAACGGCUUACCAAGGCAACGAUGCGUAGCCGACCUGAGAGGGUGAUCGGCCACACUGGAACUGAGACACGGUCCAGACUCCUACGGGAGGCAGCAGUAGGGAAUCUUCCGCAAUGGGCGAAAGCCUGACGGAGCAACGCCGCGUGAGUGAUGAAGGUCUUCGGAUCGUAAAACUCUGUUAUUAGGGAAGAACAAAUGUGUAAGUAACUAUGCACGUCUUGACGGUACCUAAUCAGAAAGCCACGGCUAACUACGUG